Long non-coding RNA from Odontomachus brunneus, 2669 nucleotides. RefSeq lists it as uncharacterized. NCBI's taxonomy places the organism in Eukaryota, Metazoa, Arthropoda, Insecta, Hymenoptera, Formicidae. The record is from RefSeq and is a predicted model, not a curated record. The transcript is spliced from 2 exons.
GUAGUGUGUUGGACAAAUAUGAGGCUAACUCAGAGUUUGAUUUUAAUUUUUGUUUUUAAUUUAAAGUUUAAAUUUAAGGUUAAAGUUAUAUGAUUAAAGUGUAAUUUUAAAUCAAAACUUGAGACAAAACGAAUAACCAAUAGAAAUAGGAACAUUAAAUUUUUGUGUUAGAAUGUUAAGAUUAGUUUUAAACUUAGUGAGUAAGGAACAGAAGUUUGAAAAUGAAUAAGCGAAAUUAUAAAGGAAAAGAGAAGAGAGGCCGUAUAAUAAGAACAAGUAAGAGAUUAGAAGUCAAGCAAUAUAUUAUUCAGGUUAAAACCGAGAUCAAAAUGUGGAUGAAGGAUAAAAACAAUACGAGCUGUAGGAAUAGAAGUAGGCUAAGGCAAAGACUAAAUGACCAAUAUAAGCAGGUACCUUAAGACAUUCGUAUACACAUGCUUAGUAAUAAGGAAACAACUUUAGACUGGGUAAGGAAAAUAAAGAUUGUGAGAAUUUUUAGCUUGCCCUUAAAGUCUAUGUAUAUUUUAAUAAAAAAAAAAAAAUCAAGGUAGUGAUGGUUAUAAACAGCAACUGGUUAAUGCAUUUUUUUGUAUUUUAUUGAAGUUAUGAUAUAUUUCAACAAGUGAUACAUAAAAAUGCACAUACGUUUUAAAUGCGCGCACUGUUGUAUGCGUAUAUAGCCACGGAGCAUAUAACUUCGGUACAUUUUAUUGUUAUGACAAGUUUCACAACCUGUCAUACCCAUUAACUUUAACAAUUUAUUAAUUGUUGUAAGAGAGAUAUUUCUCGCUUUACGAAACAGGGCGACGAUUUUAACUUUUAUAUUUAGUUUCUACGCGUGAAAAUACACAAUAUAAGUUGAGUUUCAGCCAAAUUGAAGAUGACUCUAUAUAAUUACCAAAUUUUUAUUCAUUUAAUAAUCAAUAUCCUACAUUGAUUCUGUUUUUCAUAAACAAUUAAAGUUGAAGGGGCAAGUUUUGCAAAAUUGCUUUACAUCAUAAGGAUAAUUGGAUAUAAUUCCUGCAAGGUCAGUUUUUCUUUAAAAAAGUUUAUUUUUCUUAUUCAUUGUCAAUGUUUACGUAACACUCUUAUGAUACUAGUACAAUUACAACAUGUACUCCAUUCACUUAUCGUGAAUGAAAAUAGUAAUCCAGUUUUCUGUAAAUAUAAAGUUUCUCGAACUGUUUCGCUGUACAGAGUAUCAUGACUAAAAAUAUCAUUAAUAUACAUUUCUCUUUGCAACUUUCAGAGUUCCUGGCGUUUCGACUGUAGACACGUUAGAUUGUCUUAGAAGUUUAUAAGAAACAAUUAUAUUACUUGUACCUCACUAUGUCUAUUAUACAUUGAUUUAGACUUUUGUAGCAUGCAAAUCAAGCUGUGUAUCUAAUAAUAUCACAUUCAAAACUAUGUGUUUGAUAAUAUAUCAGUAUCAUAUCUCCUUUAGUUCUUUCUCGAACAAAUGGAUGUGUAAUUCAAUUUAUGUGCUCUUUUAGAUGUGCAAAUGGAUUUUAAAUUCUAUUAAUCCAUGAACUCUAAAAGGAGGAUCUAAUAUUUCAUGCACAUAAACUAAAUGGAGGAAGUAAAAUAUAAUGUUACUUCUAGCUGGUAUCUCGUGAGGGCAAAGAAAAAUCAUUAAAAUCCAUUAAAAACCACACCAAAUCACCUUAAAACUUCAGAAAAACCUAAAAUUUUGUAUCUCCCAAAAAUGUGUUGGUAACGACUAUAACAAAAUUCUGGCCAGUACUUUAACCACAGUCGAUAAUAACUGAUUGUUUAAUCUCACAAAGGGACCAGCCAGGAAUUCUAGCGUAUUUUUGUGAUAGAAUACGAGUGUUUUUAAGCGUUUUAAAUUAAAAGCUUAUAUUAUUUGAAGAACUUACAUCUUGGUUACGCUAAAGUUGCUAGACCCAAGGAUUGUUUUGAGGUGAGUUUUCUUUUAUUUUUGCGAUUUUUGAGGUAAAUGUACCUAGAUUUUGGUGGCUUUAGGUGAUUUUUCUUUGCUUCACAAGAUUCCGGCUAGAAAUGAAAUGCUGAUUUAGAAAAACAUAAAAAAUUGUAAAAUUAUCACCAAAUUUAAGAGGAUUUGAUAAAUUUUAAUGUUUUUGCUUAAUUUUGAGAUUUUUGAAUAAUAGGAAGAUUUUUGGGAGAUACAAAAUUUUAGGUUUUUCUGAAGUUUUAAGAUGAUUUGGUGUGGUUUUUGAUGAAUUUUAGUGAUUUUUCUUUGCCUCCACGAGAUACUGGCUAGAAGUAACAUAUUAUACUCUAGUAGAGAAAGAUAUAAAAUCCAGCUUGGUUUAACAUAUUAUAAUAGUGAAUCACUUGUUUGUUUUUUAAUGGUUUUGGAACCAGGUUCAUUAACCAAAAUACUACUGGUAAACCUUCUUCAGUAAGAGCAAUCGAGCCAAGCAAAUCAUUUGUAAUUCCUCGCUUCCGCGUCACGAUCCGAUAUAGCUACAGCAAGAUGCCAGGAACUUUGAAGAAAUAUUGAGGGAAUGAUCCACAAAUAAUCGCUUGUAAAACUAAAAGUAUUCGUUAUUAGAUACACGCCUUGUCAUUGUCAACUUGUACGAACUUGUUAAUAAUAUACAGUUCCUGCAUAAAUAAUUGCUAAUUGAUGAAAAUAUGUAUGAUUAAAAAUUGAUGUACUAAACACUGAAAAAAAAAAAAAA